This 508-nucleotide ribosomal RNA is filed under the name uncultured bacterium. Its description in RNAcentral is "partial 16S ribosomal RNA". It matches the Rfam family "Bacterial small subunit ribosomal RNA", at positions 29 to 523 of the family's 1533-position model. The record is from RNAcentral.
AUUGAACGCUGGCGGCAGGCCUAACACAUGCAAGUCGAGCGGCAGCGGGAAAGUAGCUUGCUACUUUUGCCGGCGAGCGGCGGACGGGUGAGUAAUGCCUGGGGAUCUGCCCAGUCGAGGGGGAUAACAGUUGGAAACGACUGCUAAUACCGCAUACGCCCUACGGGGGAAAGGAGGGGACCUUCGGGCCUUUCGCGAUGGGAUGAACCCAGGUGGGAUUAGCUAGUUGGUGGGGUAAUGGCUCACCAAGGCGACGAUCCCUAGCUGGUCUGAGAGGAUGAACAGCCACACUGGAACGGAGACACGGUCCAGACUCCUACGGGAGGCAGCAGUGGGGAAUAUUGCACAAUGGGGGAAACCCUGAUGCAGCCAUGCCGCGUGUGUGAAGAAGGCCUUCGGGUUGUAAAGCACUUUCAGCGAGGAGGAAAGGUUGUUGGCUAAUACCCAGCAACUGUGACGUUACUCGCAGAAGAAGCACCGGCUAACUCCGUGCCAGCAGCCGCCGUAA